GAGUUUGAUCUUGGCUCAGAACGAACGCUGGCGGCAGGCUUAACACAUGCAAGUCGAACGCUCCGCAAGGGGAGUGGCAGACGGGUGAGUAACGCGUGGGAACCUACCCAAUGGUACGGAACAACCAAGGGAAACUUUGGCUAAUGCCGUAUGUGCCCGAUAGGGGAAAGAUUUAUCGCCAUUGGAUGGGCCCGCGUCGGAUUAGCUAGUUGGUGAGGUAAUGGCUCACCAAGGCGACGAUCCGUAGCUGGUCUGAGAGGAUGAUCAGCCACACUGGGACUGAGACACGGCCCAGACUCCUACGGGAGGCAGCAGUGGGGAAUAUUGGACAAUGGGCGAAAGCCUGAUCCAGCCAUGCCGCGUGAGUGAUGAAGGCCUUAGGGUUGUAAAGCUCUUUCAGCGGGGAAGAUAAUGACGGUACCCGCAGAAGAAGCCCCGGCUAACUUCGUGCCAGCCGCCGCAGUAAC
RNAcentral lists this ribosomal RNA (467 nucleotides) under uncultured Alphaproteobacteria bacterium. Its description in RNAcentral is "bacterial SSU rRNA". It matches the Rfam family "Bacterial small subunit ribosomal RNA", at positions 9 to 524 of the family's 1533-position model. The record is from RNAcentral. Lineage: Bacteria; Pseudomonadati; Pseudomonadota; Alphaproteobacteria.